RNAcentral lists this ribosomal RNA (348 nucleotides) under uncultured Helicobacter sp. RNAcentral describes it as "bacterial SSU rRNA". It matches the Rfam family "Bacterial small subunit ribosomal RNA", at positions 278 to 643 of the family's 1533-position model. Lineage: Bacteria; Pseudomonadati; Campylobacterota; Epsilonproteobacteria; Campylobacterales; Helicobacteraceae. The record is from RNAcentral.
GACGGGUAUCCGGCCUGAGAGGGUGAUCGGACACACUGGAACUGAGACACGGUCCAGACUCCUACGGGAGGCAGCAGUAGGGAAUAUUGCUCAAUGGGGGAAACCCUGAAGCAGCAACGCCGCGUGGAGGAUGAAGGUUUUAGGAUUGUAAACUCCUUUUGUGAGAGAAGAUUAUGACGGUAUCUCACGAAUAAGCACCGGCUAACUCCGUGCCAGCAGCCGCGGUAAUACGGAGGGUGCAAGCGUUACUCGGAAUCACUGGGCGUAAGGAGUGCGCAGGCGGGGUGGUAAGUCAGAUGUGAAAUCCUGUAGCUUAACUACAGAACUGCAUUUGAAACUAUCACUCUA